Molecule: ribosomal RNA, 505 nt
Filed under: uncultured bacterium
Lineage: Bacteria
Description: partial 16S ribosomal RNA
Rfam family: Bacterial small subunit ribosomal RNA
Source: RNAcentral
GACGAACGCUGGCGGCGUGCCUAAUACAUGCAAGUAGAACGCACAGUUUAUACCGUAGCUUGCUACACCAUAGACUGUGAGUUGCGAACGGGUGAGUAACGCGUAGGUAACCUGCCUGGUAGCGGGGGAUAACUAUUGGAAACGAUAGCUAAUACCGCAUAAUAUUAAUUAUUACAUGAUAAUUAAUUGAAAGGUGCAAUUGCACCACUACCAGAUGGACCUGCGUUGUAUUAGCUAGUAGGUGAGGUAACGGCUCACCUAGGCGACGAUACAUAGCCGACCUGAGAGGGUGAUCGGCCACACUGGGACUGAGACACGGCCCAGACUCCUACGGGAGGCAGCAGUAGGGAAUCUUCGGCAAUGGACGAAAGUCUGACCGAGCAACGCCGCGUGAGUGAAGAAGGUUUUCGGAUCGUAAAGCUCUGUUGCAAGAGAAGAACGGGUGUGAGAGUGGAAAGUUCACACUGUGACGGUAUCUUACCAGAAAGGGACGGCUAACUACGUG